This 486-nucleotide ribosomal RNA is filed under the name uncultured bacterium. Its description in RNAcentral is "partial 16S ribosomal RNA". It matches the Rfam family "Bacterial small subunit ribosomal RNA", at positions 30 to 507 of the family's 1533-position model. The record is from RNAcentral.
AUUGAACGCUGGCGGCAUGCCUUACACAUGCAAGUCGAACGGCAGCACGGGUGCUUGCACCUGGUGGCGAGUGGCGAACGGGUGAGCAAUACAUCGGAACAUGUCCUGUAGUGGGGGAUAGCCCGGCGAAAGCCGGAUUAAUACCGCAUACGAUCUACGGAUGAAAGCGGGGGACCUUCGGGCCUCGCGCUAUAGGGUUGGCCGAUAGCUGAUUAGCUAGUUGGUGGGGUAAAGGCAUACCAAGGCGACGAUCAGUAGCUGGUCUGAGAGGACGACCAGCCACACUGGGACUGAGACACGGCCCAGACUCCUACGGGAGGCAGCAGUGGGGAAUUUUGGACAAUGGGCGAAAGCCUGAUCCAGCAAUGCCGCGUGUGUGAAGAAGGCCUUCGGGUUGUAAAGCACUUUUGUCCGGAAAGAAAUCCUUGGCUCUAAUACAGUCGGGGGAUGACGGUACCGGAAGAAUAAGCACCGGCUAACUACGUG